This 228-nucleotide ribosomal RNA is filed under the name uncultured bacterium. RNAcentral's name for it is "partial 16S ribosomal RNA". It matches the Rfam family "Bacterial small subunit ribosomal RNA", at positions 108 to 339 of the family's 1533-position model. The record is from RNAcentral.
GAGUAAUGCUUGGGAAUAUGCCUUUAGGUGGGGGACAACAGUUGGAAACGACUGCUAAUACCGCAUAAUGUCUACGGACCAAAGGGGGGGAUCUUCGGACCUCUCGCCUAAAGAUUAGCCCAAGUGAGAUUAGCUAGUUGGUGAGGUAAAGGCUCACCAAGGCGACGAUCUCUAGCUGGUUUGAGAGGAUGAUCAGCCACACUGGGACUGAGACACGGCCCAGACUCC